CUCAGAAGCAGCAAGACCUAUUUGCCUCACUCUUUGCCCAGGGAUGACUGGUUAAGAAAUUUGUUCCAGUUAAUGUAACAAGCAGCUUCCAGGAGAACAGAAGUCCCUGUGCUCAGUGUCAGGCUCUGACCACAGAACCCGGCCUCUCUCUCCAUACUUGCCUCCAAAGGCCUUUGGGCUCUGAGCCUUUCGGUGAUGAGGUGUUCGCAAGCUGAGGGAAGGAGGGUAGAUGCCUGGGAGAGCCUGCUUAUUCUACAACCUCCGUCCCUUUAAUCCAAACAACUUUAUCCAAAGAAUGCUGCCGCCUGGGCCAGACCUGCACCCCAAAACUAGUGUCUUUGGAUCUCCACUGGACUUCUUCCUAAGUUCACAUCAUCUCAAGGGUUACUUUCCAUAACCCAGAAAGGAUAUUAUCAUUUCCAUCAAACAGAUGAGGAGAAACGGCUUCCAAGAUGUUAUCCACAAUCACACAAGAUGGAAGGGAUGGAACGGAAUGUAAACCCAGCGUUCUCACAUCCACAGAGUGGAUAUGGGCGAGGAUUGCAUACACCACGGUCAUUUCCUGAAUCUAUAUAUAGCAGGUUUGCUGGAGCAGAUGAAAAGAAAGCCUAAAGUUCUAUGCACUUCUGGAUUUUUAUUAUCAUGAUCAUCAUAAUAAAUAGUGGAAGUGAAUACAAAAAUAGUUGCUGUUAGCACAGAUAGCCUUAACUUUGUUGUAUUACCAUCUCAGUAAAAAACUCUAAAAAGAUUUCCUCCUAACAACUUCCUGUUCCAAAGUAAGCAGCUGACGUAUAUAAACAGUAGUAACUAAUAUUCAGUGACUUACUGUACACAAAACCUUAUACAGGAAUCUCUCCUU
RNAcentral lists this long non-coding RNA (859 nucleotides) under Mustela putorius furo (domestic ferret). Its description in RNAcentral is "lncRNA (ENSMPUG00000025617.1)". Lineage: Eukaryota; Metazoa; Chordata; Mammalia; Carnivora; Mustelidae. The record is from RNAcentral.